UGUAGCCACUCCUAAAUGGCCUGGUAAACUGUUAACAUCCUAAUUGCAUAUUAACUUCAGAUAACUUUAAGUCUGCUCUUUGGAAUUUUGAAGAUCUGGUGAUAUGCUUUGAACUACAGGAGUUGGCAGUACUACCUAUUUGUCAAAUAUGCAUCCUUGAUAUGUUACAGUACAACUGCUGGAUCUAAUUCUACUGCAAAAUGAGGAAUGUAUUAAUAGCAUGCUUUCAAGGUUUGGUACAGUCAGAUAUCCUCAGGUAUUGAACCCAAAACCCAAAGUAUUUGUAUGCACUUGGAGUCACUGAAUUAAUAAGCGAGGCAACGAAGCACAUCUCCCUGUCUGAGGGCCGUAACUUACUGACUUGAAACCGAUCUUCAGCCUUGUAUACUCCAUAAUGAAAAAUGCAAUGCUUGAUUCAAUGCGGAAGAACUGCUCUCCGCCACCCCAAAGUCCUCUAUGAAAUGGAAUAAGGAAACAAGUGACUGAAGGUUUCUCAGUCAACCUUGCUUCUCAGAAGGAGCAACAAAAGUCUAUCUUCAAUUUCACUCAUAGAAACUGAUCUCCUUAAGGUUGGACUGCCAAAGGCAUUUGGGUUUCCUCUAGGCACAGAGUGACCAGCGGAGGAGGGCAGAAUGAGGAACAGGGCUGCACUGACCCCCACAGUCCUACUGCAAGAUAUAACCUAUCCCUGAAGCAAAAUCGCCAAAACAUGGGUGAAGAACACACUGAAAUCUUAUUUAUAUGUAGGGUGAUUAGCUAUUUUAUUUACUUGUCUUUUUUAUAUAACCUAUUUAAAAGGAAAGUGUUUAUCUAGUUGAUUUUACAGAGGCAGAGAUUACACUGAUAAUUAGUUGUUUCUAUUUCUGCCAACACUCUCUCCAUGCUAAUAUUUUAAUGUCUGUAAUUUUCAUAAAAGAAGGACAUGCAGCAUGCCAUCUGAUCUCCCACAGACUCAAAUUCUCUCCUGCCUUCAUGCACCGCCUCUGUGCACUCCCUGGCAAUAAAGGUUUUUCUCAAUAUGGUAGCAUGAAUCACUGUUGAUGAGCAUAGCUAAUAAUGUCAGAUUCACAGAAGGCAGAAGCAAUGUCUCUUAUUUUACUAGUGUCCUCAGGACAUGGUUCAGCAACCGGAUAAGAGUGAAAAAGAUGUAAAACUAGGCACACAGCUGAGCAUAAUAAGGACAAAAAAAUAAGGCAAAAUCCCAGAAGAGAUUUGAGGAAAUCCAAAUAUUAGUCUUAUCAACACACCCCAUGCUGUCAAAAUAGAGAACAAAAGGAUAUUCAUUUUUUUAAUAUUUUCCUCUUCCUUCUUGCCACAUAUGUUGUACCGCUGUGUUGUGCUAACCACCCAUAUGGCUCCAGAUACAAAAAUAUAUACUUACCAGCAUCCUACAAUAACACACCUCAGAAGAUUAAUUUGGGUCCAGUAGUGUGAUCAUUUUAUAAUUACGUGUUUAGUCACAGUAACUAGAGUGCAUGAGGACAAUUUCUAACAAAAUACUGAUACUCUGCAUCUUCUGAAUAUCAAUGAAAUAAUCAAGAAGUUAGCAAUCUAAAUAGAAGUUAAAAGUCUAAUUAUGUUGUCACCGUAUCUUAAUACUGAACAGUUUUCUGACAGUAUAUGAUCUGUGAUUAAUGGGCAUAAUUAUGGAAAUCAGGGUAUAUAGAUUUCAGAUUAUUUGUUUCGGCAAUCAGCACCUAUUUCUAAAAAAAUAAAUUUCUUUUUUAGUUUGUAUAUAUCUUAUCAUGUAUGCUUAGAUAUUCCAAAGAAAUUGCUAGUCAAAUUUCAAUGAAUGCCAUUCCAAAAUACAGGAAGCACAAGAUAUAGACCUGAACUUUGCAUGUGGGUACAAAAAGACAGAAAGAAGCAACCAAGAUCACUGCUGAAAGUUUGAAAGCAUAAAUUCAGCUGUGAAUCAGCACUUAUCCAACAUUUGAGAAGACUAAUUGCUUUUGCUUUUUUGCAUGAGCAAUUUGUAUGUAUCCAAGGUUAGGUAGUUCAAAUGCUACUAGUUCUGUUGUGUUUUUUUCAAGCCAGCAGACUAACACCAGUUAGUACAUGUGAGCUAGAGGUGCAUUACUGAAACCAAAACCAGAAAAGUUCUCCUAAAAACUAAUGAAGCAAAACAACAAAUGCAGAACAUUUUAAUUUUCCAGUCUGAGAAGUUUUGUUCCAAAUUGUAUGUGAAUUGCUUUGGGAAUGAAACUUUUGAAGGCAAAAUGUAAUUUUCCUACCUAAUGCAGGUAAUUUUUCCUAUAGAUGGAGCAUGUUGGAGUAAUAGCUAUAUACGAAUAUUUAAUGUAAAAACGUUAAAGAUUUUCUGCUGUUUUGGUUUCCUGGGAUAUUUAUUUAUUUAUUUGCCCAGUUUAUUAUAUUAAUAGGACACCCUGUUGCUUGGUGAUGUUUUUCCACAUAACUUUACUAUCAGAAUGAUAUUAAACACAUCAUUUAUUCACUUAAACUUUGUUUCCUGAACUUCAUUUUGAAAAUUAAAAUUUCUCUUUUAUACUUGCAGUAUUAAAAAAUAAGUACUUAGUUUUCUUUUCAAGCUUGCCAGCUAAUCAAUUUGGCCAGAUGUCAAGCAAUCUUGUGUUUAUAGAGAAAAAUAAAGGCAAGAGCAAAAUACCUUCAAUUUAUCCACAACUUUUAUGCAAAAGCUGUAAUAAUGUGCUUCUGAAAUUAUUGUAUUAAUUGAGAAAGCAUAAAUGCUAAUGACAAUUUGAGAAGCAGCAGGGUAUUGUGCCAGUUCAGAAUUAUAACAUGCCUUCAAAAUAAUGCUCUUGUAGAAUCUAGUGCAAUGUUCAUUGAAAUGAAAGUGAGUUUCUAAAAUGCAGUAGGUUCUAUUUCUUGUGUAAUAAAUGCGUGUGUAGUAUCUCUGGAAAACCAUAAGAACCAACACCUGAGAAAAUGCAGCCUUCCCUUUCACAGACAUUCUAGUAAUAAAUAAAAAUACAUGCUAUGAUAUAU
Numida meleagris (helmeted guineafowl) is the source of this 2967-nucleotide long non-coding RNA. RefSeq lists it as uncharacterized. The record is from RefSeq and is a predicted model, not a curated record. The transcript is spliced from 6 exons. NCBI's taxonomy places the organism in Eukaryota, Metazoa, Chordata, Aves, Galliformes, Numididae.